UACGAACGGUCCAAACGUUAUUCGGAAUCACUGGGCUUAAAGCGUCCGUAGGCGGCUUUGAAAGCAGGGCGUGAAAUCCCACGGCUCAACCGUGGAACUGCGUUCUGAACUACAGAGCUAGAGGGAGAUAGAGGUAAGCGGAACUGAUGGUGGAGCGGUGAAAUGCGUUGAUAUCAUCAGGAACACCGGAGGCGAAGGCGGCUUACUGGGUCUUUUCUGACGCUGAGGGACGAAAGCUAGGGGAGCGAACGGG
This 253-nucleotide ribosomal RNA is filed under the name uncultured bacterium. RNAcentral describes it as "partial 16S ribosomal RNA". It matches the Rfam family "Bacterial small subunit ribosomal RNA", at positions 524 to 776 of the family's 1533-position model. The record is from RNAcentral.